GUAGGUGGCAAGCGUUGUCCGGAAUUAUUGGGCGUAAAGCGCGCGCAGGCGGUUCUUUAAGUCUGAUGUGAAAGCCCACGGCUCAACCGUGGAGGGUCAUUGGAAACUGGAGAACUUGAGUACAGAAGAGGAAAGCGGAAUUCCACGCGUAGCGGUGAAAUGCGUAGAGAUGUGGAGGAACACCAGUGGCGAAGGCGGCUUUCUGGUCUGUAACUGACGCUGAGGCGCGAAAGCGUGGGGAGCAAACAGGGAUUAGAUACCCUGGUAGUCCACGCCGUAAACGAUGAGUGCUAAGUGUUAGGGGGGUUUCCGCCCCCUUAGUGCUGCAGCUAACGCAUUAAGCACUCCGCCUGGGGAUACGGCCGCAAGGCUG
RNAcentral lists this ribosomal RNA (373 nucleotides) under uncultured organism. RNAcentral's name for it is "partial 16S ribosomal RNA". It matches the Rfam family "Bacterial small subunit ribosomal RNA", at positions 527 to 896 of the family's 1533-position model. The record is from RNAcentral.